UGAGUACGAUGCUCUACGGAGCAGAAGUGUGUGACGUCAGGCUUCCUAGAAAAUCCCGGACCACGUUAAUCCACAUCACCCGUACCCGAAACCGACACAGGUAGGAUGGUUGAGAAUACUAAAGGGCGCGAGAUAACUCUCUCUAAGGAACUCGGCAAAAUGGCCCCGUAACUUCGGGAGAAGGGGUGCCCACGCAAGUGGUUGCAAUAACAAGAUCCAAGCAACUGUUUACCAAAAACACAGGUCUCCGCUAAGUCGUAAGACGAUGUAUGGGGGCUGACGCCUGCCCAGUGCCAGAAGGUUAAAGAAGUUGGUUAGCUUCGGCGAAGCUGAUGACUGAAGCCCUGGUGAACGGCGGCCGUAACAAUAACGGUCCUAAGGUAGCGAAAUUCCUUGUCGGGUAAGUUCCGACCCGCACGAAAGGCGUAAUGAUUUGGAUACUGUCUCGGAGAGGGGCUCGGUGAAAUAGACUUGUCUGUGAAGAUGCGGACUACCUGCACCUGGACAGAAAGACCCUAUGAAGCUUUACUGUAACUUGAGAUUGAAAUUGGACUUUAUUUGCGCAGUAUAGGUGGGAGACGUUGAGAAUGUUCUUGCGGGAAUAUUGGAGUCAUCAGUGAGAUACCACUCUUGUAAUGUUAGAUUUCUAACUUUGUAUCAUUAUCUGGUCAAAGGACAGUUUCAGGCGGGCAGUUUGACUGGGGCGGUCGCCUCCCAAAGGGUAACGGAGGCGCACAAAGGUUUCCUCUGAACGUGUAGAAAUCGUAUCUAGAGUGUAAAGGCAUAAGGAAGCUUGACUGUGAGACCUACAAGUCGAGCAGGGACGAAAGUCGGUCUUAGUGAUCUGACGGUGCUGAGUGGAAAGGCCGUCACUCAACGGAUAAAAGUUACUCUAAGGAUAACAGGCUGAUCUCCCCCAAGAGUUCACAUCGACGGGGAGGUUUGGCACCUCGAUGUCGGCUCAUCGCAUCCUGGGGCGGUAGUACGUCCCAAGGGUUGGGCUGUUCGCCCAUGAAAGCGGUACGCGAGCUGGGUUCAGAACGUCGUGAGACAGUUCGGUCCAUAUCCGGUGUAGGCGUUAGAAUAUUGAGAGGAGCCUUCUUUAGUACGAGAGGACCGAGAAGGACAUACCUCUGGUGUACCAGUUAUCGUGCCAACGGUAAACGCUGGGUAGCUAUGUAUGGAGUGGAUAACCGCUGAAAGCAUCUAAGUGGGAAGCCCACCUCAAGAUAAG
Molecule: ribosomal RNA, 1234 nt
Filed under: metagenome
Description: bacterial LSU rRNA
Rfam family: Bacterial large subunit ribosomal RNA
Source: RNAcentral